AGAUCAUUUAAAGAGUGCUCAUGUGGCUGUGAAGCCAAGAACUCUUGAUGCUGGGACAUUAUUGGGAUUCUUUACAGAAAGUGUUUCUAUUUCUGUGAAGAAAUA
This 105-nucleotide small nucleolar RNA is filed under the name Mus caroli (Ryukyu mouse). RNAcentral describes it as "snoRNA (MGP_CAROLIEiJ_G0035919.1)". The record is from RNAcentral. Lineage: Eukaryota; Metazoa; Chordata; Mammalia; Rodentia; Muridae.